CCACGGUGGCUGGAAGCAUUCCUCCAUCUCUAUCAGGCCUCUCAUUCCUUGAUGUGAAAACCUGACAUUUUCUCAAUCAUACACAAACAUUUCUUCUGAACCAGCCCCGUAGGCUGCCCUCCAGUCCGGAUCCCUAAUCCGGGCUUCUCCAGAGCCGGCCCUGGUUGGGGCCCAGUCUCCCUCCCUGGACUCUCUGUCAGCCCAGCUCUCUCUGGAAAAUUACCAUAUCACUAGCAGGGGAGGAUUUGGCCAGAGAAGCCAAGUCUGCUCUGAUGGUAACAGCGUUCCCCACUUUCUUGUUGCUUCUUUUCAGCCCUGCUGCCCAGUUCUCUCUGAUCUGCCCCUCGCCUCCAUGCUGUACCUGGGUGUUUUGGUUUUGUCAUCACUCCUGUGAGGGCCUGUCUCUGGCUACAUCUAAACAGGAAAUGUGAAAACAGGGAUGCUGGUUGGGACGUUCAGAGCACUAUAGGCUUUACCUUUCCCUGCCUGGAAUGUCCUCCCAUCCGCCGCACCAACAACUGGACAGGUGAAAAGAAUCAAAGAGGAAAGGAAGAAGAGGGUGCAAGCUUGAUGCCGGCCGCCUUGCCCAAGGCGGGGUGAGGCCAGCACUCGGGUCAACGUGAGGGUGAAUGGAGAUGAGAACAGAAGGGGAGGCCUGGGGCAGAGCCACAGAAACUAAAGGGAAUUUCCAGCAGGAGGCUAUGGUGAAGUCUCUGAUGAUGCAAAGAAGACAAGGAGAAUGAAAAUCCAAUGAAAGCCCGAUGGUAUCGGUUGACCUUAAGGAGAGUGAUUCUAUGGCACAGCCUCUCUGGAAGGUACGGUGUGUUUGCUCACAGUAUGUCAAUAUCCUUUGACCCAGUGGCCUUUCUGCUAGGAGUUUAUCCUACAGAUAAACUUAGAGUGGUGCUCAAAUAGGUAAGUUCAAGGAUAUCCUCUGAAGCAUUGCUGUAGUAAAAAAAAGAUCAUAGAUAUCCUCCAAGGGCAUCAUUAGGGGCCUAGUAAAAUAAAUUCCGCACAGCGGAAUACCGUGUAGCUCUUCAGAGAAUAAGCAGCUCUCUAUAUGUGA
Sapajus apella (tufted capuchin) is the source of this 1066-nucleotide long non-coding RNA. RefSeq lists it as uncharacterized. Lineage: Eukaryota; Metazoa; Chordata; Mammalia; Primates; Cebidae. The record is from RefSeq and is a predicted model, not a curated record. The transcript has 2 exons.